Molecule: long non-coding RNA, 581 nt
Filed under: Triticum aestivum (bread wheat)
Lineage: Eukaryota; Viridiplantae; Streptophyta; Magnoliopsida; Poales; Poaceae
Description: long non-coding RNA (TAES_LNC010931)
Source: RNAcentral
AGCACGGGCGUCGACAUGGCCUCACGCAGGAGAGGCCCCCGCUGCUGCAACCAGCCAACCGAGUACAAAGUCAAGCAAGGGGUCAAGAAGAAGAAGCAUCAUCAAGAGAGGAGAUGACAGAGACUACAAGAUCAGCAGGAAGAAGAAGCAUCAUCAAGAGAGGAGAUGAAAGAGACUACAAGAUCAGCAGGAAGAAGAAGCAUCAAGAGAGGAGAUGAGCAGAGACCACAAGAUCAGCAAGAAGAAGAACCUGAUCGCCGGCAUGGGAUGGUUGUCGUUGUUGCUGCUGCUGCUGUGACUGGAGGUAUGCGCGGAGGUCGUCGUAGCUGAGGAGGGAGAAGUUCUCGGGCCACUCCCCGGAGAUGAUGGCAUCGGGGUUCUCGUCGAGCCCGAGCCGGAGCCCGCUCCCGUCCAUGAACGUGGACGCCCGGCACUCAAAGGUCCCGCCACUGGCUCUACCUCUUCUGGCCUUACUCUUGGCCCCUUUGAACAUGGAGCAGCUCUGCAAGGUAUUGAUGCACGCCAUGGAUGCUAGCUACUCUUCACUGCUUCCUUGUCUUGUGUUGUGGAUGUUGUCUGAC